Long non-coding RNA from Telopea speciosissima, 174 nucleotides. RefSeq lists it as uncharacterized. The record is from RefSeq and is a predicted model, not a curated record. The transcript is spliced from 3 exons. Lineage: Eukaryota; Viridiplantae; Streptophyta; Magnoliopsida; Proteales; Proteaceae.
UCACUCUAAUUUUGAUGUUUGGUUCUUCCCAGAAUUACUCCUACUAUUUGAUGCAUAUAAGAUGAAACCGUGGGUCAUCCCAAUCAAAUUACUUCUUUUAAAUUUGAAUAGAAAUAAAAAUAUUAGUGAAAAUAAAAACUUCACUGGAAAAGAAAAAAGAGAUCUUUUUAUGUA